Molecule: non-coding RNA, 744 nt
Organism: Leptonychotes weddellii (Weddell seal)
Lineage: Eukaryota; Metazoa; Chordata; Mammalia; Carnivora; Phocidae
Source: RefSeq, a predicted model, not a curated record
GGAUUCCUGGAGAAGCUGCAGUGUGGGGAUGCUCUAGACCGAGUACUGCCCUCGGUGUCUUUUCACCUCCUCCUCCUGCAGCGGCGCCGGCGGCGGCAGCGGCAGCAGCACUUAGCAGCGGCAACUUGAGGCUGCACCCCGGGCCAGCCCCCCAGGGUGGUGCUCAACUGAGACGGGGGCUCAGCGCCCCAAGGGGUGUGUGCAGGGUGAGGGUGGCCCGCUGGGACCAGCUGGUGGCCCUGAGAAACCUCCCACACACCCACACCCACACACCCCUUUUGUGUUGCAGGCUGCCCCUCCAAGAGCAGAGGCAGCAAGAGGACGCGUGUGUCUUGCACAGAUCCACGCGGGGAGAGCAGUGGGGCCGGAGACCGGCACCACCUUCUGGUCCUCCAGGGAAAACAGUAAAACGAGAACCAGCAAGAGCUUGAGGGACAAACGCCCGGAUUGAGAUUGGAAGACUGUUCAUUUGCCUGUUGCUUCGGUCCUCGAAAUUGCGUUACAACUGCCUAAUUCAGAGAAAAAGAAUCUGAAAGAACAAAAUAGCCCAGAAUUCCUAACAGAACAAUUCACCUGAACUUAAAAUGGUGAGCGAGAGUCAUCACGAGGCGCUGGCCGCCCCACCAGUCACGACCGUUGCGACAGUUCUCCCACAUAACGCCACAGAGCCGGCCGGUCCCGGGGAAGGAAAGGAAGAUGCCUUUUCUAAGCUGAAGGAGAAGUUUAUGAAUGAGCUGCAUAAAA